GCGUCGGUGGUAGAGUGGUCAAUUACAACAGGCUGUAAACCUGUCGACUUCGGUCUUCGAAGGUUCGAAUCCUUCCCGGCGCACCA
Molecule: transfer RNA, 86 nt
Filed under: Minisyncoccota bacterium
Lineage: Bacteria; Bacillati; Minisyncoccota
Description: tRNA-Tyr
Rfam family: tRNA
About the family: Transfer RNA (tRNA) molecules are approximately 80 nucleotides in length. Their secondary structure includes four short double-helical elements and three loops (D, anti-codon, and T loops).
Source: RNAcentral